GGGAGUAAUGUCUGGGAAACUGCCUGAUGGAGGGGGAUAACUACUGGAAACGGUAGCUAAUACCGCAUAACGUCGCAAGACCAAAGAGGGGGACCUUGGGCCUCUUGCCAUCGGAUGUGCCCAGAUGGGAUUAGCUAGUAGGUGGGGUAAAGGCUCACCUAGGCGACGAUCCCUAGCUGGUCUGAGAGGAUGACCAGCCACACUGGAACUGAGACACGGUCCAG
This 224-nucleotide ribosomal RNA is filed under the name uncultured bacterium. RNAcentral describes it as "partial 16S ribosomal RNA". It matches the Rfam family "Bacterial small subunit ribosomal RNA", at positions 106 to 334 of the family's 1533-position model. The record is from RNAcentral.